Molecule: ribosomal RNA, 593 nt
Filed under: uncultured fungus
Lineage: Eukaryota; Fungi
Description: eukaryotic LSU rRNA
Rfam family: Eukaryotic large subunit ribosomal RNA
Source: RNAcentral
AGCAUAUCAAUAAGCGGAGGAAAAGAAACUAACAAGGAUUCCCCUAGUAACGGCGAGUGAAGCGGGAAGAGCUCAAAUUUAAAAUCUGGCAGUCUUCGAUUGUCCGAGUUGUAAUCUAGAGAAGCGUUUUCCGUGCUGGACUGUGUACAAGUUUCCUGGAUACGGAACAUCAUAGAGGGUGAGAAUCCCGUCCUUGACACAGACUACCAGUGCUCUGUGAUGCGCUCUCGACGAGUCGAGUUGUUUGGGAUUGCAGCUCAAAAUGGGAGGUAAAUUCCUUCUAAAGCUAAAUAUUGGCGAGAGACCGAUAGCGAACAAGUACCGUGAGGGAAAGAUGAAAAGCACUUUGGAAAGAGAGUUAAACAGUACGUGAAAUUGUUAAAAGGGAAACGCUUGAAGUCAGUCGCGUCUACUUGGACUCAGCCUUACCUCGGUUUGGUGCAUUUCCUUGUUGGACGGGCCAGCGUCCAUGUUGUCCGUCGGAAAAGGGGUGAAGAAAUGUGGCUCUUUCGGGAGUGUUAUAGUCUUUGCUCGUAUACGGCGUGUGAUAUGGAGUGGUACAGCAUGCUUCGGUGGUGCUUGUGCUGGCAUAA